UACGGAGGAUGCGAGCGUUAUCCGGAUUUAUUGGGUUUAAAGGGUGCGUAGGCGGAUUUUUAAGUCAGCGGUAAAAUGUCCGGGCUCAACCUCGUCGAGCCGUUGAAACUGGGUGCCUUGAGUGGGCGAGAAGUACGCGGAAUGCGUGGUGUAGCGGUGAAAUGCAUAGAUAUCACGCAGAACUCCGAUUGCGAAGGCAGCGUACCGGCGCCCAACUGACGCUGAAGCACGAAGGCGUGGGUAUCGAACAGG
Molecule: ribosomal RNA, 252 nt
Filed under: uncultured bacterium
Lineage: Bacteria
Description: partial 16S ribosomal RNA
Rfam family: Bacterial small subunit ribosomal RNA
Source: RNAcentral